Molecule: ribosomal RNA, 253 nt
Filed under: uncultured bacterium
Lineage: Bacteria
Description: partial 16S ribosomal RNA
Rfam family: Bacterial small subunit ribosomal RNA
Source: RNAcentral
UACAGAGGGUGCAAGCGUUGUUCGGAAUUAUUGGGCGUAAAGGGCGCGUAGGCGGUGCUGUAAGUCUGUAGUGAAAUCUCUGGGCUCAACUCAGAGUCUGCUAUAGAAACUGCAGUGCUAGAGUGUGGGAGAGGUGAGUGGAAUUCCCGGUGUAGCGGUGAAAUGCGUAGAUAUCGAGAGGAACACCAGUGGCGAAGGCGAGUCCCUGGACAGGUACUGACGCUGAGGCACGAAAGCGAGGGGAGCAAACAGG